ACUCAAAUGAAUUGACGGGGGCCCGCACAAGCGGUGGAGCAUGUGGUUUAAUUCGACGCAACGCGAAGAACCUUACCGGCUUUUGACAUGGGUAGUAUGGGCUGAAGAGAUUUAGUCCUUCACUUUGGGUGGCUACUACACAGGUGCUGCAUGGCUGUCGUCAGCUCGUGUCGUGAGAUGUUGGGUUAAGUCCCGCAACGAGCGCAACCCUUAUUUUCAGUUGCCAUCAUUUAGUUGGGCACUCUGAGGAAACCGCCGGUGACAAGCCGGAGGAAGGCGGGGAUGACGUCAAGUCCUCAUGGCCCUUACGGGCCGGGCUACACACGUGCUACAAUGGCAACCACAACGGGAUGCGAACCAGCGAUGGGGAGCUAAUCCUUUAAAAGUUGUCUCAGUUCGGAUUGCACUCUGCAACUCGGGUGCAUGAAGUUGGAAUCGCUAGUAAUCGCGGAUCAGCAGGUCGCGGUGAAUACGUUCCCGGGCCUUGUACACACCGCCCGU
This 501-nucleotide ribosomal RNA is filed under the name uncultured bacterium. RNAcentral's name for it is "bacterial SSU rRNA". It matches the Rfam family "Bacterial small subunit ribosomal RNA", at positions 899 to 1397 of the family's 1533-position model. The record is from RNAcentral.